CGUUCUCUUUUUUGGAGCCUUUCGC
RNAcentral lists this transfer RNA (25 nucleotides) under Cyprinella spiloptera (spotfin shiner). RNAcentral describes it as "partial tRNA-Phe". The record is from RNAcentral. Lineage: Eukaryota; Metazoa; Chordata; Actinopteri; Cypriniformes; Leuciscidae.